Long non-coding RNA from Felis catus (domestic cat), 510 nucleotides. RefSeq lists it as uncharacterized. NCBI's taxonomy places the organism in Eukaryota, Metazoa, Chordata, Mammalia, Carnivora, Felidae. The transcript is spliced from 3 exons. The record is from RefSeq and is a predicted model, not a curated record.
CUCCUCCUCCCCCCCCCCCCCCCACUGUCCCUGCCUUCUCUCUUCUGUCACCAUACGAUGUUCUAGGCACGCUUCGUCCUUCUGCAGCACCAGCUCUGGGAUCAGCAGCCAUUUCUUCGAGGAACUCUGUUUCCUGUCACGGACAAGGUUAUUGAGAAACCAAGGUCACAGAAGAACUCAGUUCUCCUGGAAGUGUCACUGACCGUAGGCUCCUUUGUCAGACAGAGAGAUUCCUGGGUCGCGUGGUUUGACUUUCGUCCCAGCUCUCCAUCCGUCACAUACGUGUCGCAAAGUAAGGAAGAUUGAGCCCAGACAAGAACUGGGUGUCAGGAGGGGGCCAGGAGAGAAACCGGACAAAACCUAACGUACACGUGCACCAUCGUAGAAACAAGCUCUCACGUACACAGCAAAGUGGAAAACAAAAACGCGGAACGCACCCACGUCUUGCACUCUUGUGCGUGCACAGCCUGUGCGUCUGGAAGGAGACACAAGAAACUGCUACCAACAGCU